CACCAGGAAGCUAAAUUGGGCAUAGCGUUAGCCUUUUAAGCUAAAGAAUGGUGACCCCCAAUCACCCCUAGUGA
RNAcentral lists this transfer RNA (74 nucleotides) under Ipnops sp. auip01. RNAcentral's name for it is "tRNA-Lys". It matches the Rfam family "tRNA". Rfam says of the family: Transfer RNA (tRNA) molecules are approximately 80 nucleotides in length. Lineage: Eukaryota; Metazoa; Chordata; Actinopteri; Aulopiformes; Ipnopidae. The record is from RNAcentral.